GGCUGGUUGGCUCUUCCUCCUCCUCCUCCUCCUCCUCUUCCACAGCCUCACCUUUGUGGAAGCUGAUGAUGGAUGUGUGAUGGCCAGAGACAACAAUGAGGGACAGGGAGGUGACUGCCUCCCCCACUCCAAGGAUGGCAUCCAGCUGCUUGUAAAAGUGGCAGGUCUAUGGUGCUGCUCCAAGGUGAGAACUUUGUUCAUGUAGACCAUACCUGGUCCUGGGUGGUGGUCAUCCAGGUGUAGA
Molecule: microRNA precursor, 244 nt
Filed under: Pelodiscus sinensis (Chinese soft-shelled turtle)
Lineage: Eukaryota; Metazoa; Chordata; Testudines; Trionychidae
Description: miRNA (ENSPSIG00000020110.1)
Source: RNAcentral